GUGGGGAGAGGGCUGGAGAGUGAUGCCUGGAGCCGUGUUCUGAGCAGCACAGGUGCUGCAUUGGGGUACAGUACCUCCUCCCCACGGUCAGAAUUAGGCUGGAAACUUGGCGUACAGCAACACAGCAGACGGCCCAGAAGCACAGUUGGGGUGGGGCAAGAAGCUGGGCCACUCAGCCUGUCCUCUGUCUGCCCAGGGAGUCCCCUGAUGAGACGCACACCACCUCUGAGACAAAAGAGUGACUCAAACUUGAGGAACAGGUCAGUCUGUGUUGGCCCUGUUUUCUCUCACCCAGCCAGGCACCUUGUUGAGUGAAGAAAUAAACAAGACGCUAACACCCAAAAUGAAGUUACGGAGAAGAAACAUUUAACGUUUAUUUUUUGUUGGUGGUGUGCUCGAAACAAGAGCAGCAAGGAAAUGAGGGUGGGCCUAAGCCGGUGGCUCACAGUAAGAAGAAAACAACUCCGGGAGGCCUAGAAGAUAUUCCCAGGAGCCACCGUGGAAUAUAGGAAGCAGGGAUCUGACCCUCUGGGCUGAUGGAUGGCUGCUCAGUGUCCGGGGCAGCAGGUGAGGGGUGGUUUGCAGCUGUGUAGCUACACUCCUCACAGGGGGCGUCUCAGGCAGGAGGAGCAUCUGUGAAGGUGGAUACUGUGACAGGCCCGAGUCGUCCAGGACUGAACAACAUAGACCGAGACCCCUGCCCUGUGGAGGUUUGAUUCGUGCAUCUCUUGUGGCAACGUGACUCAAUCGGUGAGCAAAACACACCAGAUGACAAUGGCGAUAUGGAUAUGCCAGCCUU
This is a long non-coding RNA of Rhinolophus ferrumequinum (greater horseshoe bat), 799 nucleotides long. RefSeq lists it as uncharacterized. The record is from RefSeq and is a predicted model, not a curated record. The transcript has 3 exons. Lineage: Eukaryota; Metazoa; Chordata; Mammalia; Chiroptera; Rhinolophidae.